UACGUAGGGUGCGAGCGUUAAUCGGAAUUACUGGGCGUAAAGCGUGCGCAGGCGGUUCGUUAAGUCAGAUGUGAAAGCCCCGGGCUCAACCUGGGAACUGCAUUUGAAACUGGCGGGCUUGAGUGUGGCAGAGGGGGGUGGAAUUCCGCGUGUAGCAGUGAAAUGCGUAGAUAUGCGGAGGAACACCGAUGGCGAAGGCAAUCCCCUGGGCCUGCACUGACGCUCAUGCACGAAAGCGUGGGGAGCAAACAGG
RNAcentral lists this ribosomal RNA (253 nucleotides) under uncultured bacterium. RNAcentral's name for it is "partial 16S ribosomal RNA". It matches the Rfam family "Bacterial small subunit ribosomal RNA", at positions 524 to 776 of the family's 1533-position model. The record is from RNAcentral.